GUGGAAGUGACAGGAACUCAGCAUCCCUGU
Molecule: non-coding RNA, 30 nt
Filed under: Homo sapiens (human)
Lineage: Eukaryota; Metazoa; Chordata; Mammalia; Primates; Hominidae
Source: RNAcentral